Molecule: ribosomal RNA, 497 nt
Filed under: uncultured bacterium
Lineage: Bacteria
Description: partial 16S ribosomal RNA
Rfam family: Bacterial small subunit ribosomal RNA
Source: RNAcentral
GACGAACGCUGGCGGCGUGCCUAAUACAUGCAAGUAGAACGCUGAAGCGAGGAGCUUGCUCUUCUUGGAUGAGUUGCGAACGGGUGAGUAACGCGUAGGUAACCUGCCUUGUAGCGGGGGAUAACUAUUGGAAACGAUAGCUAAUACCGCAUAACAAUGGAUGACACAUGUCUUUUAUUUGAAAGGGGCAAUUGCUCCACUACAAGAUGGACUUGCGUUGUAUUAGCUAGUAGGUGAGGUAAUGGCCCACCUAGGCGACGAUACAUAGCCGCCCUUGGAGGGGGGACGGCCAAACUGGGACUGGGACCAGGCCCAGACUCCCACGGGAGGCAGCAGGAGGGAAUCUUCGGGAAAGGGGGCAACCCUGACCGAGCAACGCCGCGUGGGGGAAGAAGGGUUUCGGAUCCUAAAGCUCCGUUGUAAGUCAAGAACGGGUGUGGUAGUGGAAAGUUCACACUGUGACGGUAGCUUACCAGAAAGGGACGGCUAACUACGUG